This 521-nucleotide ribosomal RNA is filed under the name fungal endophyte. RNAcentral describes it as "eukaryotic LSU rRNA". The stretch from base 212 to 365 matches the Rfam family "5.8S ribosomal RNA". The record is from RNAcentral. Lineage: Eukaryota; Fungi.
AAGUCGUAACAAGGUCUCCGUUGGUGAACCAGCGGAGGGAUCAUUAACGAGUUCCAUUCUCCUUAAUACACCCGUGAACGUUUCUUCAACUGUUCGUUGCUUCGGCGGGCGGCCCCGGGGAGGGGCCGCAGCCCGCAAGGGCGCCCGCCGGCGGCAGCGCAGCACAACUCUUGCGAUUUAGGCCCCUCUGAGAAGACACUAAAUGAGUCAAAACUUUCAACAACGGAUCUCUUGGUUCUGGCAUCGAUGAAGAACGCAGCGAAAUGCGAUAAGUAAUGUGAAUUGCAGAACUCAGCGAAUCAUCGAAUCUUUGAACGCACAUUGCGCCCGCCGGCAUUCCGGCGGGCAUGCCUGUUCGAGCGUCAUUUCAACCCUCGAGCCCUGCUCGGUGUUGGGGCCCCGCGGCCGCCGCGGGCCCUGAAAAGAAGUGGCGGGCGCGCCUGGACCCGUAGCGCAGUAAUACACCUCGCUCGCGGCGUCCCGGCGCGUGCCGGCCGUAAAACCCCUUUAUCUCAAGGUGA